This 73-nucleotide transfer RNA is filed under the name Micromonospora aurantiaca (nom. illeg.). RNAcentral's name for it is "Micromonospora aurantiaca tRNA-Lys". The stretch from base 6 to 67 matches the Rfam family "tRNA", at positions 6 to 65 of the family's 71-position model. Rfam says of the family: Transfer RNA (tRNA) molecules are approximately 80 nucleotides in length. Their secondary structure includes four short double-helical elements and three loops (D, anti-codon, and T loops). The record is from RNAcentral. Lineage: Bacteria; Bacillati; Actinomycetota; Actinomycetes; Micromonosporales; Micromonosporaceae.
GCGCCGCUAGCUCAACUGGCAGAGCAGCGGACUCUUAAUCCGCGGGUUCGGGGUUCGAGUCCCUGGCCCUGGU